CACGUAGGGCGCAAGCGUUGUCCGGAAUUAUUGGGCGUAAAGAGCUCGUAGGUGGUCUGUUACGUCUGCUGUGAAAACCUAGGGCUUAACCCUGGGCCUGCAGUGGAUACGGGCAGACUAGAGGUAGGUAGGGGAGAAUGGAAUUCCCGGUGUAGCGGUGAAAUGCGCAGAUAUCGGGAGGAACACCGGUGGCGAAGGCGGUUCUCUGGGCCUUACCUGACACUGAGGAGCGAAAGCGUGGGGAGCGAACAGG
This 253-nucleotide ribosomal RNA is filed under the name uncultured bacterium. Its description in RNAcentral is "partial 16S ribosomal RNA". It matches the Rfam family "Bacterial small subunit ribosomal RNA", at positions 524 to 776 of the family's 1533-position model. The record is from RNAcentral.